RNAcentral lists this non-coding RNA (211 nucleotides) under Polyozosia dispersa. The record is from RNAcentral. Lineage: Eukaryota; Fungi; Ascomycota; Lecanoromycetes; Lecanorales; Lecanoraceae.
UGCGAAUGGCUAAACCUACCAUGGGCCGUCGACGGUGGACUAGCGAGCUGGGGAGCCAGCUCGCGACAGUACCAAAUUGUGGGGCCUGCACCCGCAGCCAGGGCUCUCCUGGUUCAACGACUACAUGGUACGCGGCCGGAGCGUGAGCGUUCCGGUGAAAAUAUAGUCUCUCCUCGGGGACGCGCCCCCGGGACCGUGGCAUUAUAUCAGU